This 230-nucleotide long non-coding RNA is filed under the name Elaeis guineensis (African oil palm). RNAcentral's name for it is "long non-coding RNA (EGUI_LNC003366)". Lineage: Eukaryota; Viridiplantae; Streptophyta; Magnoliopsida; Arecales; Arecaceae. The record is from RNAcentral.
CUUGCUAGUGCGUUAAACAUUAAGGAUGGGGUUGUUGCUCCGGCUUUCAUGUGUAUGUAUACCAUAUAGUUCUUAUGCUAUAACCAUCUAUGUUCAAAGUCUGAAUGGACGUUUAGUUGAACUGGAUACAUUUUGUAAUUGAGGUUGCAAAUGAGCCGGAUUGACCUGUAAUGGGAUAUGGCCUGACUUGUUUAAAGCCGGUCCUAUCUAUUUUGAAAAAUCUAUGGGGU